Molecule: ribosomal RNA, 253 nt
Filed under: uncultured bacterium
Lineage: Bacteria
Description: partial 16S ribosomal RNA
Rfam family: Bacterial small subunit ribosomal RNA
Source: RNAcentral
UACGUAGGGGGCAAGCGUUGUCCGGAAUCAUUGGGCGUAAAGCGCGUGUAGGCGGCUCGGUAAGUCCGCUCUGAAAGUCCAGGGCUCAACCCUGGGAUGCGGGUGGAUACUGCCGGGCUCGAGUCCGGAAGAGGCGAGUGGAAUUCCCGGUGUAGCGGUGAUAUGCGUAGAUAUCGGGAGGAACACCAGUGGCGAAGGCGGCUUUCUGGGCAUUUCCUGACGCUGAGACGCGAAAGCGUGGGGAGCGAACCGG